Molecule: ribosomal RNA, 311 nt
Filed under: uncultured bacterium
Lineage: Bacteria
Description: partial 16S ribosomal RNA
Rfam family: Bacterial small subunit ribosomal RNA
Source: RNAcentral
GGGGAAUAUUGGACAAUGGGGGCAACCCUGAUCCAGCAAUGCCGCGUGUGUGAAGAAGGUCUUCGGAUUGUAAAGCACUUUCGACGGGGACGAUGAUGACGGUACCCGUAGAAGAAGCCCCGGCUAACUUCGUGCCAGCAGCCGCGGUAAUACGAAGGGGGCUAGCGUUGCUCGGAAUGACUGGGCGUAAAGGGCGUGUAGGCGGUUUACACAGUCAGAUGUGAAAUCCCCCGGGCUUAACCUGGGAGCUGCAUUUGAUACGUGUAGACUAGAGUGUGAGAGAGGGUUUGUGGAAUUCCCAGUGUAGAGGU